This 272-nucleotide transfer-messenger RNA is filed under the name Staphylococcus epidermidis. Its description in RNAcentral is "partial transfer-messenger RNA". It matches the Rfam family "transfer-messenger RNA", at positions 89 to 374 of the family's 374-position model. Rfam says of the family: Bacterial tmRNA, also known as 10Sa RNA or SsrA, is named for its dual tRNA and mRNA-like properties. Its role is to liberate the mRNA from a stalled ribosome. To accomplish this part of the tmRNA is used as a reading frame that ends in a translation stop signal. Lineage: Bacteria; Bacillati; Bacillota; Bacilli; Caryophanales; Staphylococcaceae. The record is from RNAcentral.
AACUGACAAAUCAAACAAUAAUUUCGCAGUAGCUGCGUAAUAGCCACUGCAUCGCCUAACAGCAUCUCCUACGUGCUGUUAACGCGAUUCAACCCUAGUAGGAUAUGCUAAACACUGCCGCUUGAAGUCUGUUUAGAUGAACUAUAAUCAAGCUAGCAUCAUGUUGGUUGUUUAUUGCUUAGCAUGAUGCGAAAAUUAUCAAUAAACUACACACGUAGAAAGAUUUGUAUCAGGACCUCUGGACGCGGGUUCGAAUCCCGCCGUCUCCAUUA